This is a long non-coding RNA of Amphiprion ocellaris (clown anemonefish), 502 nucleotides long. The record is from Ensembl. NCBI's taxonomy places the organism in Eukaryota, Metazoa, Chordata, Actinopteri, Pomacentridae.
GGUAUGUUCUAACCUUCUACAGUCACAUGACUCUCCCCCUGCAUGCACGCUUGUUGCUUGUGACUCCAUUACUCCUGAAGAACUCAACUUGCACAGUAGCUUCAUGCUGUUGUCUGCCUGCCUGCCUUUGCUGGACCUAUUUAUCCUUCUCAUCUGGCUCCUUAUUGAGAAGAUGAUACGUACGACAAGUUUCCUGAUGGCGUCUGAAUGCAGUUAGACGCAUUGAACUCAUGCCAAACAUGCCAGCUGACCUUAUUAAGGGAAGAGAAGUGAGACAUGAAGCUGUGUGUUAUAAAGCUGCAGCCCCCAAAGCCCAUCCAACCCCCCACCUCUUGAUUGGAUUGUACACUCUCAGUGAUGAAGGAAGACACAACACAGAGGCUGGCUGCUCGUCUGUCUCUGCACUAUGAAAGCCCUGCAGUCUGCUCCGGGUUGGAGGGUGGUCUCUCCAUGUGGGCAUUCUUGAAUGUAUUUAGAGCUUUUCAGUCUCAAGUAAUCACCA